AGAUAAUAGAUACCCCGGUAGUCCACGCCCUAAACGAUGGAUGCUAGGCGUAGGAGGUAUCGACCCCUCCUGUGCCGCAGCUAACGCAUUAAGCAUCCCGCCUGGGGACUACGGCCGCAAGGUUGAAACUCAAAUGAAUUGACGGGGACCCGCACAAGCGGUGGAGCAUGUGGAUUAAUUCGAUACUAACCGAAGAACCUUACCCAGGUUUGACAUCGAGGGUAAGCCUAUGAAAGUAGGCCCUCUCCCACAAGGUGACCCGAAGACAGAUGUUGCAUGGCUGUCGUCAGCUCGUGCCGUGAGGUGUACGGUUAAGUCCGCCAACGAGCGCAACCCCCGUCGUGUGUUACCAGCGAGUAAAGUCGGGAACUCACACGAGACCGCCGGUGUAAGCCGGAGGAAGGUGGGGAUGACGUCAAGUCAGCAUGGCUCUUACGCCUGGGGCUUCACACAUGCUACAAUGGGCGCAACAGAGGGAAGCAAUACCGUGAGGUGGAGCAAAUCCCAAAAUACGCCCCAGUUCAGAUUGCAGU
RNAcentral lists this ribosomal RNA (533 nucleotides) under uncultured bacterium. Its description in RNAcentral is "bacterial SSU rRNA". It matches the Rfam family "Bacterial small subunit ribosomal RNA", at positions 775 to 1304 of the family's 1533-position model. The record is from RNAcentral.